CCAAUAGCGUAUAUUAGUGUUGUUGCGGUUAAAAAGCUCGUAGUUGAAUUUCGGGAUUGGGAUAUAUCGGUCAUGCCUUUAGGGGCAUGAAUCGGUGUGUAGCCAAUUUCUCACCUUCUGGUGAAUUGGGAUGCUCUUGGGUGUUUCAAUGAACUAGGACUUUUACUUUGAAAAAAAUAUAGUGUUUAAAGCGGGCAUUUUUGCUUGAAUACAUUAGCAUGGAAUAAUAAAAUAGGACGAUGGUUCUAUUUUGUUGGUUUUAGGACCACGUAAUGAUUAAUAGGGAUAGUUGGGGGCAUUAGUAUUCAAUAGUCAGAGGUGAAAUUCUUGGAUUUAUUGAGGACUAACUACUGCGAAAGCAUUUGCCGAGGAUGUUUUCAUUAAUCAAGAACGACAGUUAGGGGAUCGAAGACGAUUUAUGUACGUCGUAGUCUUAACCACAAACUAUGCCGACUAGGAAUCAGACAAAGUUCAUUUUUUAACGACUUGUUUGGUACCUUACG
RNAcentral lists this ribosomal RNA (503 nucleotides) under uncultured Glomeromycotina. RNAcentral describes it as "partial small subunit ribosomal RNA". It matches the Rfam family "Eukaryotic small subunit ribosomal RNA", at positions 591 to 1092 of the family's 1831-position model. Lineage: Eukaryota; Fungi; Glomeromycota. The record is from RNAcentral.